Molecule: ribosomal RNA, 495 nt
Filed under: uncultured bacterium
Lineage: Bacteria
Description: partial 16S ribosomal RNA
Rfam family: Bacterial small subunit ribosomal RNA
Source: RNAcentral
GACGAACGCUGGCGGCGUGCCUAAUACAUGCAAGUAGAACGCUGAAGGAGGAGCUUGCUUCUCUGGAUGAGUUGCGAACGGGUGAGUAACGCGUAGGUAACCUGCCUGGUAGCGGGGGAUAACUAUUGGAAACGAUAGCUAAUACCGCAUAAUAUUGACUAUUGCAUGAUAGUCAGUUGAAAGGUGCAACUGCACCACUACCAGAUGGACCUGCGUUGUAUUAGCUAGUUGGUGGGGUAACGGCUCACCAAGGCGACGAUACAUAGCCGACCUGAGAGGGUGAUCGGCCAAACUGGGACUGAGACACGGCCCAGACUCCUACGGGAGGCAGCAGUAGGGAAUCUUCGGCAAUGGACGGAAGUCUGACCGAGCAACGCCGCGUGAGUGAAGAAGGUUUUCGGAUCGUAAAGCUCUGUUGUAAGAGAAGAACGAGUGUGAGAGUGGAAAGCUCACACUGUGACGGUAUCUUACCAGAAAGGGACGGCUAACUACGUG